GACGAACGCUGGCGGCGUGCCUAAUACAUGCAAGUAGAACGCACAGUUUAUACCGUAGCUUGAUACACCAUAGACUGUGAGUUGCGAACGGGUGAGUAACGCGUAGGUAACCUGCCUGGUAGAGGGGGAUAACUAUUGGAAACGAUAGCUAAUACCGCAUAAUAUUAAUUAUUGCAUGAUAAUUAAUUGAAAGGUGCAAUUGCACCACUAUCAGAUGGACCUGCGUUGUAUUAGCUAGUAGGUGAGGUAACGGCUCACCUAGGCGACGAUACAUAGCCGACCUGAGAGGGUGAUCGGCCACACUGGGACUGAGACACGGCCCAGACUCCUACGGGAGGCAGCAGUAGGGAAUCUUCGGCAAUGGACGAAAGUCUGACCGAGCAACGCCGCGUGAGUGAAGAAGGUUUUCGGAUCGUAAAGCUCUGUUGUAAGAGAAGAACGGGUGUGAGAGUGGAAAGUUCACCCUGUGACGGUAUCUAACCAGAAAGGGACGGCUAACUACGUG
RNAcentral lists this ribosomal RNA (505 nucleotides) under uncultured bacterium. RNAcentral's name for it is "partial 16S ribosomal RNA". It matches the Rfam family "Bacterial small subunit ribosomal RNA", at positions 28 to 507 of the family's 1533-position model. The record is from RNAcentral.